This 481-nucleotide ribosomal RNA is filed under the name uncultured bacterium. Its description in RNAcentral is "partial 16S ribosomal RNA". It matches the Rfam family "Bacterial small subunit ribosomal RNA", at positions 28 to 523 of the family's 1533-position model. The record is from RNAcentral.
GACGAACGCUGGCGGCGUGCUUAACACAUGCAAGUCGAGCGGAAAGGCCACUUCGGUGGUACUCGGGCGGCGAACGGGUGAGUAACACGUGAGUAAUCUGCCCCUGGCUUUGGGAUAGCCACCGGAAACGGUGAUUAAUACCGGAUACGACCACUUCUCGCAUGGGAUGGUGGUGGAAAGUUUUUUCGGCCAGGGAUGUGCUCGCGGCCUAUCAGCUUGAUGGUGAGGUAAUGGCUCACCAUGGCUUCGACGGGUAGCCGGCCUGAGAGGGUGACCGGUCACACUGGGACUGAGCCACGGCCCAGCCUCCUACGGGAGGCAGCAGUGGGGAAUAUUGGACAAUGGGCGGAAGCCUGAUCCAGCAACGCCGCGAGAGGGAUGACGGCCUUCGGGUUGUAAACCUCUUUCAGCAGGGACGAAGCGCAAGUGACGGUACCUGCAGAAGAAGCACCGGCCAACUACGUGCCAGCAGCCGCCGUAA